Molecule: transfer RNA, 73 nt
Filed under: Stegodyphus mimosarum
Lineage: Eukaryota; Metazoa; Arthropoda; Arachnida; Araneae; Eresidae
Rfam family: tRNA
About the family: Transfer RNA (tRNA) molecules are approximately 80 nucleotides in length. Their secondary structure includes four short double-helical elements and three loops (D, anti-codon, and T loops).
Source: Rfam by way of RNAcentral
GCAUUCGUUGUGUAGUGGUCAGCACACUCGACGCGUAUUCGAGAGGUCAGUGGUUCGAAUCCCGGCGAAGGCU